CUAAUAGAAUCUUCGCUUCUGAAGACUGAAGUGAACAAGGAAAGUGCUUUAUACCAUGGCAGAGUUAUACACCACGCCGGGAGCCCUCCUACCUUUACUACAUGGGCUCAGUGUCCACGGAGAACUCCAAGCUCUGGAAAUGUCAGGAUUAGUCAAGAAGACAGUAAGAUCUCAAGUCACCACCAGCACCAAAUGAUAGAGUCAACAAUCCCAACUCCCUUUUCAGGCCCCUUAUCUAGAAAAGGGACUAUGCCCACAGUCCCACUGGGAAUUGCUUUCAGAGGAGCUGAUGAAAGCUGUGAAGGCACUGUUGCCCAACAGUGAGGGGAGUGGAAACAACUUGGCAGAACCUCUGGGAAGGCCCAUCAGGGCAUGAGAUCAGUGACCAGAGACGAGGACCACACUCCAGGGGUAGAGGCAGAACCACAUGUCAUGCCCUGCAGACUCCAGAGCUGCAUCUCCAAGACAGAGGGAGGCCUCCAGCAGACAAGAUGCGGAUGCGGGCCUUCUAAAACUCAGGUACCCUGAAAACCACUUUUUUUCCCCUAAUGAGGCAGAAACAAAAACUUAAGGAAGUUGUAAGCCACAGUGGCCAACAGAAAAGUUAGAAUGUGUCCUGCAGAACAAGCUUCUCUGCUCUCCCAAACCAGACAUUAGACAAGAGACAGCCUGGGGUGGUGGCAGAAGCGUGGACCAGGAGCCCAGUGGACAUCUCCUCGGCUGGGACGCUCCCCAGGGACGAGGGGCUGGGCAGGUGACUCCUCUUGGGUCUUGAUUCUUCCUUGGACUAGUGACCAUCGCAACAGGAGGUUGACAAGGUUGCUGAGAGAUAACUCAUGUGAAAACAUGCUGUGAGCUAGGUAGGUGUCAUUAUCCUGACUCAUAGAUGAGAAAACCCAACUUAGCAGGCAAGAUGAUGUUCCCAGUGUCACUCAGCUAGAAAGUGACGGAGCUGGAGUUUACACUCAAUCUCUCUGGUCCUGAA
Molecule: long non-coding RNA, 985 nt
Filed under: Equus asinus (donkey)
Lineage: Eukaryota; Metazoa; Chordata; Mammalia; Perissodactyla; Equidae
Description: lncRNA (ENSEASG00005029297.1)
Source: RNAcentral